AGCGAACGCUGGCGGCAGGCCUAACACAUGCAAGUCGAACGCCCAGCAAUGGGAGUGGCAGACGGGAUAGUAACACGUGGGAACGCGCCCUUCGGUUCGGAAUAACUCAGGGAAACUUGAGCUAAUACCGGAUACGCCCUUACGGGGAAAGAUUUAUUGCCGAAGGAACGGCCCGCGUCGGAUUAGCUAGUUGGUGAGGUAAUGGCUCACCAAGGCGACGAUCCGUAGCUGGUCUGAGAGGAUGACCAGCAUCACUGGGACUGAGACACGGCCCAGACUCCUACGGGAGGCAGCAGUGGGGAAUAUUGGACAAUGGGCGCAAGCCUGAUCCAGCCAUGCCGCGUGGAUGAUGAAGGCCCUAGGGUUGUAAAGUCCUUUUAACGGGGAAGAUAAUGACGGUACCCGUAGAAUAAGCCCCGGCUAACUUCGUGCCAGCAGCCGCGGUAAUACGAAGGGGGCUAGCGUUGCUCGGAAUUACUGGGCGUAAAGCGCACGUAGGCGGGUCGAUAAGUCGGGGGUGAAAUCCUGGAGCUCAACUCCAGAACUGCCUUCGAAACUGUCGAUCUUGAGUUCGGGAGAGG
Molecule: ribosomal RNA, 581 nt
Filed under: uncultured bacterium
Lineage: Bacteria
Description: bacterial SSU rRNA
Rfam family: Bacterial small subunit ribosomal RNA
Source: RNAcentral